GACAAGCUAGCGCUAAAAGGCCCCGCUACUUUUGCUCGUCGUCGAGUUACGUGCGCAUGCAAAAGUCUCCGACUUUCGACCGGGCAUAUGCCGCACGCUUGCAACACGCGUGUUCCGGUGUUCAACUUAUCCCUUUCCCACUUAAAAACCUUUCAUGUUCCUAGUCUUGAGUUUCAUAGCAGUUUUUUUCUGUUCAAGUAACAGAGAGAACAGUACCUUUGUUUCCCAGUUAAACGAUCUAUGUCUCCCACCCUUCCCAUCAUGCAACUUUAAUUAGCAAUACAACUUGCGACUACUAUGUGUAGUUAUACCCUCUAAAAUGCCUGCUUUUACUCUUUAUAGUGAUUAUAUAAGCAAAAGUCCUCCAUUUUUUUUCAACCAACCACCUAAUGCUCUAUAUCCUUUCCCACCUAGCCCGGCAAAAAUUUCUUUGGUGUCGUUGUCACAAUUCCAUAUUUUCACAGUUACAAAUAAGUACUUCCU
RNAcentral lists this long non-coding RNA (483 nucleotides) under Setaria viridis. RNAcentral describes it as "long non-coding RNA (SVIR_LNC006545)". Lineage: Eukaryota; Viridiplantae; Streptophyta; Magnoliopsida; Poales; Poaceae. The record is from RNAcentral.